This 486-nucleotide ribosomal RNA is filed under the name uncultured bacterium. Its description in RNAcentral is "bacterial SSU rRNA". It matches the Rfam family "Bacterial small subunit ribosomal RNA", at positions 28 to 507 of the family's 1533-position model. The record is from RNAcentral.
AUUGAACGCUGGCGGCAUGCUUUACACAUGCAAGUCGAGCGGCAGCGCGGGGGCAACCCUGGCGGCGAGCGGCGAACGGGUGAGUAAUGCAUCGGAACGUGUCCCGUAGUGGGGGAUAACCCGGCGAAAGCCGGGCUAAUACCGCAUAUGCUCUACGGAGGAAAGGGGGGGAUCCGCAAGGACCUCUCGCUAUGGGAGCGGCCGAUGUCCGAUUAGCUUGUUGGUGGGGUAAUGGCUUACCAAGGCGACGAUCGGUAGCUGGUCUGAGAGGAUGAUCAGCCACACUGGGACUGAGACACGGCCCAGACUCCUACGGGAGGCAGCAGUGGGGAAUUUUGGACAAUGGGGGCAACCCUGAUCCAGCCAUGCCGCGUGCGGGAAGAAGGCCUUCGGGUUGUAAACCGCUUUUAGUCGGGAAGAAAAGGCGAUCUCUAAUACGGGUCGUUCUUGACGGUACCGGCGGAAUAAGCACCGGCUAACUACGUG